RNAcentral lists this ribosomal RNA (263 nucleotides) under uncultured archaeon. RNAcentral's name for it is "partial 16S ribosomal RNA". It matches the Rfam family "Archaeal small subunit ribosomal RNA", at positions 717 to 982 of the family's 1478-position model. The record is from RNAcentral.
ACACGACUACAUUAGAUCCGCGUAGUCCAGGGUGUAAACGCUGCGGGCUUGGUGUUGGGGGUCCUUUGAGGGCGCCCAGUGCCGGAGAGAAGUUGUUAAGCCUGCUGCUUGGGGAGUACGUCCGCAAGGAUGAAACUUAAAGGAAUUGGCGGGGGAGCACCGCAACGGGAGGAGCGUGCGGUUCAAUUGGAUUCAACGCCGGACAACUCACCAGGAGCGACGGUUACAUGAAGGCCAGGCUGAUGACCUUGCCUGAUUUUCCG